UGGGGAAUAUUGCACAAUGGGCGCAAGCCUGAUGCAGCCAUGCCGCGUGUAUGAAGAAGGCCUUCGGGUUGUAAAGUACUUUCAGCGAGGAGGAAGGCGGUAAGGUUAAUAACCUUAUCGAUUGACGUUACUCGCAGAAGAAGCACCGGCUAACUCCGUGCCAGCAGCCGCGGGAAUACGGAGGGCGCAAGCGUUAAUCGGAAUUACUGGGCGUAAAGCGCACGCAGGCGGUCUGUCAAGUCGGAUGUGAAAUCCCCGGGCUCAACCUGGGAACUGCAUUCGAAACUGGCAGGCUAGAGUCUUGUAGAGGGGGGUAGAAUUCCAGGUGUAGCGGUGAAAUGCGUAGAGAUCUGGAGGAAUACCGGUGGCGAAGGCGGCCCCCUGGACAAAGACUGACGCUCAGGUGCGAAAGCGUGGGGAGCAAACA
This 427-nucleotide ribosomal RNA is filed under the name uncultured bacterium. RNAcentral describes it as "partial 16S ribosomal RNA". It matches the Rfam family "Bacterial small subunit ribosomal RNA", at positions 355 to 774 of the family's 1533-position model. The record is from RNAcentral.